This 334-nucleotide ribosomal RNA is filed under the name uncultured Anaerolineaceae bacterium. Its description in RNAcentral is "bacterial SSU rRNA". It matches the Rfam family "Bacterial small subunit ribosomal RNA", at positions 1034 to 1382 of the family's 1533-position model. The record is from RNAcentral. Lineage: Bacteria; Bacillati; Chloroflexota; Anaerolineae; Anaerolineales; Anaerolineaceae.
UCAGGUGCUGCAUGGCUGCGUCAGGCUCGUGUCGUGAGAUGUCGUUAAGUCCGCUAACGAGCGCAACCCUCGCUGUGUGUUACAAGUGUCACACGGAACUGCCGGUCAUAAACCGGAGGAAGGUGGGGAUGACGUCAAGUCAGCAUGGCCUUUAUAUCCUGGGCUACACACACGCUACAAUGGGAAGGGACAAUAGGUUGCGAAGCCGCGAGGCGGAGCCAAUCCAGCAAAACUUCCCUCAGUUCAGAUUGCAGGCUGCAACCCGCCUGCAUGAAGUUGGAGUUGCUAGUAAACGCAGGUCAGCCAUACUGCGUUGAAUACGUUCCCGGGGCUU